Molecule: ribosomal RNA, 470 nt
Filed under: uncultured bacterium
Lineage: Bacteria
Description: partial 16S ribosomal RNA
Rfam family: Bacterial small subunit ribosomal RNA
Source: RNAcentral
GACGAACGCUGGCGGCGUGCUUAACACAUGCAAGUCGAACGAGAUCCCAUGUGUAGCAAUACACAGGAAGAUCUAGUGGCGAACGGGUGAGGAACACGUGAGAAACGUACCCCAGACUUUGGGAUAACAGUCCGAAAGGACUGCUAAUACCAAAUAACGUCGGAAGUCCGCAUGGACAUCUGACGAAAGGGAUUCCGGUUUGGGAGCGUCUCGCGGACCUAUCAGCUAGUUGGAGGGGUAACGGCCCACCAAGGCAACGACGGGUAGCUGGUCUGAGAGGAUGGUCAGCCACACUGGGACUGAGACACGGCCCAGACUCCUACGGGAGGCAGCAGUGGGGAAUCUUGCGCAAUGGGCGAAAGCCUGACGCAGCAACGCCGCGUGCGGGAAGAAGGCUUUCGGGCUGUAAACCGCUUUCAGUAGGAACGAAACUGACGGUACCUACAGAAGAAGGAGCGGCCAACUAUGUG